AAAGGCCUCUUUAAAUGAACACAUUUGAAUUGUAAUGUGAUUUAUUUUUUUUCUUUCCAAAGAAGGAAGAAGUAAUGUUUUUUUUCUCUCAGGCAGCUGGUUGAGUUCAGGAGUUGUUGGCUGCAGAGGUUUGAAGAUGUCAUUUUCAGACUCCUCUGUUAAAACUGCUUUGAUAAAACCGGCUGUAAUACUCUUGAUUAAGGACUCUCCAUCUUGACUUAAUAAAAUGGAGGAAGUAUGUUGGGGGGGCCAAGGACUAAGGAAACUGGUUUUAGCUUAUUCAAGACAUUUGUUAUUGGGAAAACAUGUCUUUUGUAAUAGAAUUUAGUUGAAACUACAAGAUUGACAAAAGUGUUGAGAGAAAUCUGAUUUCAUUAAGUAAAAAUCAGCUUUUUGAGCCCGUCUCAUUAGAAAUCUGUUGCACUGAUGUCUGUUCACAGUGAUAUGCCUUACAUAUCUCAUAUCAUUUACCCAUCCCUCAAACUAAAUGGCACUUUGACCAUACAUCAGAGUGGUUUCUUGAGAUCUUUGUUAACACAUAUUAUACAUCCAAGGACUCAUUUGACACAUAGAAAUGUCACAAAUGCAAUAAAAUGAAACCAAGUCUUAAAAGCAGGAACUUGGUAACCAUGUCAACUGUUAGAUAUUUACUUGAGAAGUGCAGAAGUGCCGUGUUCAAGUGUUUGCUUCUGCUGAGUGAGUCUUGGUGAAAGGUCAGACCUUUUUAGACCUUUUUAGAGUUAUGAAUCCGACAUUCAUGCUCCUCAUCAGUGACACAGCUAGUGAUACAAUUUACUGUUGAGAUGUAAGUUAGUCACAACUCAACCUGCCACAGUCUUGGUCAAAUUUUCUCAAUAUGAAAUAUGAGAUUCAGUCAGUUUAACUUGGGUAUAGAUCCGGGGUCAUGUUAGCAAAUAACUUAAACUUACUGGAAAUAUCAAGCUAACUUUGUCAACAUGAACCAUCCUCAGACAAAAGUCAUGUUUUAGGACAAGUGUUGGACGUACCAUUGACCAAGUUACAUGUGGUUACAAUGAAAUAGCUGAGUUUUGGUAGGUUUAUUCAUCUAAAACGUCAACACAACCUGCCCCCAGUGGUUUGUGCUCUGCUGACGUCAUGUUCCUAACACAUGGCCCCAAUGUCCCUCCACAACCCAGGCAUAAAGAUAGAUGAGAACUGAUGGGUGACAUCACCAGGGUUUUCAAGCAGGUUCAAGGUUACAGACUCAAGGGUUGUUUGAGGCAAAGCUCAACCAUGCCGGAUUUGGCUGUAUGCUUUACCUCCCCUUACUUUCCCAUUUUUACAAGUAAUAGAGAAGGAGAAGAGUAAAGAGCUCAACCUCCCCGUAUCCCUCUUCAUCCUUAUUUUUGGAGAGGAAGAGACGAGGGUAGGAGAAGAAUCAGCAAAAGUGUCAGUCAAACGAACUCUGUGAGUAGAGAUAUGAGGCUAUUUUCAUGAUUGGAAAACAAAUUUUAAGUUGAACUCUUGGACAUUGAGCAAAUUCAAAGAUAGCAAGGUUAAUGUGUGUCAAAGUAACCCCCAGAUGGGACUACAUGGAUGCUCUGAAUGGCCCAUUCAAAAAGUCACGCAUGAAUUCAGUGGGAUCAUUAUGAGAUUUGCUCAAAUCAUGACAUCCCGAGACAGUGGAUCUCCUCAAAAGGGCAAAUUUGUCAUUUAAAUUAAAGAAACACAGCUUUGUGGUAGUGUUGGGCAGUAUGACGGUGUAUACCAUGUGAUGGUAUAAAAGUGUCUACUGGUAGAAAGAGCAGAUGUCUGCAGGAUCUGAGUCAGUGUGUAGUCGUCUGUGCUCGCUAAUAGAUGAGUCAGAGCGGAGUUUGUUCGCUCCGUUUGAUUGGUCAAGUUUUGGUGUGCUUCCUAAAACAAGAGGAAGAGGAGGAACUCCUUCCGAAAAAUGGCACAAGUGGCAACAUGGGUUGUCUGGAGAUUCUUUGCAUGUCCACUGAGAAUUGCAUGCGCCUCGAGGAAACGCGCACCGCUUAUAGUAAAGUGUUCCAUGGAAAUGUGCAAUUUAAAACCCAUACAAUUCUUACUUGUUGGGCUAAACAAUGAUGAGUAAUGUUCAGAAAGUAAUUUUUAGCGGACACGCGGUACAACACUGGCAGCCAGCGACUCACUCCAUGUGCAGGGGCGUGGUUUCCUCCUCUGAUUGAUGGCUGGCAGGGUAGCAUGGUUGGCAACUGAGUAAAGAACGACCAUGAUUGGUGGAUAGCUGUACAGCACAUGCAGAGUCACAUGCAGUCUAUCUCAGUCAGUUACCCUUGAAAUUAAAUGAGUUCAUUCGCCUUCAACAUCACAAGCUCUACAAUGUGACUAAAGCACACUUGUACAUCACGAUGACAAUGCUCAGACGAUACAUUGUGCAGCUCUAAUACAGUGAUAUAAGAUUUUGUUCAUACCGCCCAACACUACUCUGGGACGUAGGAACAGUGAGUGAGGCUUCCAGAAUGCUGGAUUCCAGAAUACUUGGGAGGUCUUAAAGGGACAGUAGCUUAAAUUAGCAGCCUGGAAUACAUAAAGAAUUAGUUGACCUGUAAAUCAAAUAAAGCUGCAAAGAGGCCUUCAAAGGGACAAUAUAAACGCUCAGAAUAAGAAUAACAUACCCUCUCUAAUCGUUAAAUCUCUUUGGGGGGCCUUUAAAAACCCACAUCAGCUGAAAUCCAGCCUUGAGCCAAGAGGAAAAAAAAUGGUAGGUGGAGGUGAGGGAGGGAAGUGAUGUGUGUAGCACAGAGACAUGUUGACAGAGGACAAAUGAAUAAUGGGGCUGAGAGAUAUAGAGGAAAGAGGGAAAGGGUGAGUGAGGUAUGAACGAAGAAAGGAAGGAGGGAAGGAGGGAGGGCAGGAGACUAGGGGGUGACAGGGUCCGCUUUCCAUUCUUGCUCCCUCUACCGCUUUCCUGCUGAUUUCUAUAUCCACGGCACACCCUGGAGAUUUCUCCCCACACCUCAAUCCAUCACACGCUGCACAUAAUUGUGAGUACACAGAUACAGCCAUGCAUCACUGCAUGGGCCAGAAAGGCGAGGAGCUCCGCGUGUCGGCCGCUGGAAGAAGAGAGACGUCUUGUGUUGCCGUGCUGCACAGGAGGCGAGACAUGAAUGCACGGAGGCCAUUUGUUCUGGCUGAAUAAACAGAAAAAUACCCUCCGAGGCCUGGAUCACUUUCUGACCUGUUCCUCUGCAUUUUAUAUCAGCAGCCAAUUACGGGCCGGCUAAUACUGAUCAAUGCUGCUGUGCUCUCUAUGCAUGAACUUUCCCAAAUGAGGAGGUCUCUUCCUGCUUUCUCCAAUUUGUUCCUCACGCUCUGUGUACGUGGUAUCCCUUUCAUUUUAUUGAUGUGUUUGUCGAUCUCUGUCAUCUAAUUAUUUCCCCGCUCUGUGUCUCUUGCUCCUCUCUCGGCUGCAGAAGGCAUCUCUUUGAUUGCCAGGGCUACACUCUGCUCGGCACAGAUGAUACCCCCUGAUUUGAACCAAAUUAUUGCUCUUUGGUUAGUCCACACUUAAAUAUUUUAGGGGGACAGGGCUUUGAAAUGGCUACAAAGGGACAAAGCCAGGAAUUUAAAUGACAGGAACAUGCAUAAAGAUUUCUAGAUUUUGCAGCUUUUCAUCUGUUCCCGGCAUGCCAAUCCCUGGCCAGCCAAGAGGGAAGGAAAAACGACCAUCAUAAAUAUGGUUUUGAUUUUCUAACCAGGCGAAACAACAAAGUUAUGGCGGGAACAUUAGCCACAUUGAUCCCGUCUGGUCGAUGGAAUAAAGCAGCGAGUGACCUUUCCCUCAUUUGGAGGCAUAAAAUUCCUUGUUGAAGUCUCACAGGGCUCCGGCUGAAAGCAUUAACACAAAUUACCAGCCGCCAUUAAAGGCCCGCAUCAAUUCCAGCCUGCGCCAUCAUUACCAAACGACCGAUAAAAUGCUGGAAAGCCAUCGUCCUGUGCUCUGGCAUGCCUCACACUCACACGAAAAAAGAAGAACACGUGCAGAUGCUAACACACACUCAGCCCUGGAGACCGCUGCGAAGCCUAUUACACACAGUCUGAUUUACAGCUGAGCUGCCUGUAGCAGGGACCAUCAAGCUAGCAGCGCACCAACCUGCCGUGACAGUGCAACUAAUUGAGCCCAGAUAUAUCUGCCCCCCUCCCAACUAAAGCCUGAAAGGGUGAUAACACGCCUACCUGCACAACACUGCCACUCCAUAUUUUACAGACAAAAACAACAAUAAGGGAGGACACACACCCCGGAGCUUCAUUUGGAGAUGUUACAUUUGAAAUGGGGGUAAUUGUCCAGGUUUGCAGUUUGUAAAUCAUUGCCUCUGAGUUUUCUUUGUCUUCAUUCUCAUAAAAAGAAAGGGUUUUUAGUUGAAGAAGCUUUAUAAAAAUGAUCUUUUUAACCCUGAUAUUUCUAGUUACAAACAAGACUUCUACCUCCUGUAAACCAAGGACUUUAAAGGACUCUACACCAAAAGGUGAAGCUCCUAUAAGAGUUUUUAACUGGCUGUGAAACAGAUUGACAUUAAUAGUGAUGCCAUAAACAACAAAACUAAUUGUAAUUUUCAUGCCUAAAACUGCAGCGAGGGGUACGAUUCAGACCAGAUGAUUAACCCUGCAGUGUUACAGACCUGUUUUUACCCAAUUCUUGCUGAAAGGAAACAUAGAGCUGAACAGAUUCUUCAUAGAAGCGACGAGAGAGUCCCUCAAAAUGUUUGAUCACAUAUAGAGCAAACAAAAUAGGACCCAGCACAGAACCCUGAGGCACACCACAGAAAAAUUCAAAGAGGUACACAUUAAAGGGAUAUUCAGCCACGUGCUGUCUGAUUGCAUUUCCUCGUGGAUCAUAUGAGGAUUAUUACUUUAAAGAAAUGAUAAAGUAGUGAUCAUAAAUGUUCUUCCUUGAGCUGCGACACCCCACAGCAGUCAGUGGACUCGCUCAGAGGUCUCCGUACAAACAAGCGGCUGCUGGAAGAGAGUAGGUGAGUUGUGUUUAGUCUCUUUGCUAAAGGAAUCAGGCAAAGCUAAAAAGAUGUUUGGUGGCUAGUGCUGUGGCUGGGACCCAAUAUGUACUGUUGAUGAAGUUAGGUGCUGUUCUGAGCAUUAUUUGUGGCUAUAGAGUGGCUUUUUGGUUGAGCGUGUGGCUCUCUGUAUUGCUAUCUGCGGUCGUUACUAAAGUUGGUAUAACUAGAGAAGCAAACGGUCGGCAACACUCAUCUCUCGAUGGGUGUCUAACUCAGUGUUAUGGUGUGUUUGACCCUAACUUAAUUUUACGCUGGAAUAUUCCUUUAAUACUGCUGACAUGUCAUUUACGUUAGGUGUUUUGUAUUUUUCUCUUUAUUGUCUAGAUGGGUCUCAGGUCAGGCUGGACAGUGAAGCACAGUAACAUAAUAGUCAGUAUACUAUUCAGUCGAAGUUUUGGCACUGUGGGCAGGUGGUAAGUCUUGUUGGAAAGGGAACUGAAGAUUGUUUUUAGGCUUGUCAGCAGAUAGAGGCACAAACUACAACAGUAGGUGACAUGACACCCCAAGUAGUCCCAGACUUUUCAUACUUCUUGGUUGUUUAUUAGCAAAGACGUGCUCCACUGACCACAAAUUGCUAUAUACCUUUAUUAGUGUUGUUUACAUACAUGAGACACAGCUGUACAAAUCAGUGUAAAGCCAUAUGAAGUUGACUGCUUUGCUGCAGACAUUAAACUCCACAUGCACUCACACGAAACUUGAAUGUAAUAUGUCAAACUUUAUCAGGAACAUGGACCCACGCUUUUCUGAAACUUAUUAUCAUGAGAAUAUCCAGUAGCACAGGCUUCUAGCAUAACCAAUCAAUCAACUUUUUAUUAAAGAAAUAUUCAAUAAAGUAGACACUUGUCAGUGUUCCACCCACACCAAAACACCCACAUCUGCUGCAUGUUGUUGCUCGGCUCGGAGCCUCUCAGAGACACCAAAUCAAUGUCAUUAAAUCAGGUCUAUUCUGAGUGCUUAAUAAAAAGUCUGUCACCUUAUGUGUGCUCUGAUAAAGCUCUGAUCUCAUAACUAGUACAACAAUAUUCUGCCAUAGAUGAAUAAAUCCACCAUCCAAGACUAACAAGCUUCAUAUUAAAGCUGCGCCAGGCAGGAUUUUAUUGUGAAAAUCUAAUGCCGUAACAGAGAGGAGUUUGUGAAAUGAAACAAAGACAGAUAAAAGCAUCCAAUCACAUCUAAUUAAAUUUGUUUACAGAGCCGGGGUCAAAGAGGGUCGGUGGUGGGAAAAUAGUCCCUGCAUGCAGAAGUUAUGACGUCUUCUGAAUCAUUUAGAGGAACCCUGAGGAUGACAAAGAAGACUGGGAGAAGUCUAGGGUAUGAAAUAUUUGUUACACACCAACCAAACAUUUACAGCUUUAAGGGUCCCGUAAAUUCUUCUCUCCCUUUACGAACAAAUUACAGUAAAGUUUGAUAAAAACAGAUUAUUACCGCAAAAAUAUCGUAAAACAUUAUUUUGAUUUUAUCAUGUCUUUUUUUUUAGAUUUAUUUUGUGAGACUAUUUAUAAGUUACAGUACAACCAACCUUUUGUCGCAACUUCAUUAUUUAACAUAAUGUUUUUUUUCUGAAGUUGCAACAAUGCUACUUUAGGGUCUGACCUAAAAAAAGAAAAGCAUGAAUACAAAUGUCUUUUUAUUUGGAACGUAGUCCAAAACAGUUUAUAUAAUAAUUGUGAUUUUAAAGUGACAUAACAGGGCUCGACAGUGCAACCGUUUCACUCGCAUUUGCGACUAAAAAUAGAUGUGUGCGAAUUGUAAACUGUAUUUAGGGGCACGUGCGCAUAAAAAAAAUCAGCCGGGGCAAUAAAUGUUUUUCAUGUAAAUAACGCAGCGAAGUUAGUUUUAGGUUGGAUAUUCAACGGACAUUCACUGCGAAACUACCGGUGUCCUUUCACUCCCCAUAACUGGUAAUACCAACAGCAACGUGGUUAAGUCUACUCGGCACCCUCACUGUCAACGUCGGUUGUUGAAUAAGGGACUAUCAAUAAAUUACUGGUUGAUGUUCUCAAAAAAGGCUGUUUUCCCUCAAUAGCUUCCAUGUCAUGUGACCAAUUGACUUAAAAUUGAUUUCAAAUAAUGGUACUAAGGUCAGACGAUAUGACACAUCCCUUUAUGUUUAUAAUUUGUCCUCUAAAAAUUUCUGUGUUAAGUUUAAAGGCAAAUUUUGAACAUUUUCUUCAAAAGCUUCCAUGUCAUGUGACCAAAAGUGACCUAAAAUUGAUUUCAAAUAAUAGUACUUCUGUUGACCAAUAAGACAAACAUUAUUUGAUCAGUUUUCAUUGUGACCCUAAAGUUCUUUAUGUGCUCCUUACUUUUUCAACUUAGAGCACAUGUGAUCCUUGUGAAGGAAAAGUUAGUGUCAAGCCCCAAUCCUGUUCUGUCGCAGUCCCUGUUUCUUCCCACUAAAAGGCCCCAAAGUCAGGAUAUCCUAAACCACACACACUGUCUUUAAAGUUAAACUAAACCAGCGUGACCACUGUAAUGAGAAGCUUUAGUCUGCACUUUAUUCAACCACAGCAAGUUUAAGCUUAAGCAUUUGUCUGUUUUAAUGAAAGUAGAAGUUUCACAUGUUUGCUGAACCUCUUUACCCCUCUGUCCUCCACCAAAGUGUGUCAGCCAACAGCUCAGUGUCGAGUUGUGUAACUUUUGGGCAGUCAUGUCUUCAGGCUUUGAAAAAUUAAAGCCAUUACAUCAUGCUGCCACUGGGGGCUGUCAGAGUUGCCUUGCGCAGCUCUAAAACGGUGCACAGUGAAAGGUUGCAUUAACCAGUCAUGAUUUGGGGAUGAUUUAUUAAUGAUGAAUGUUUCCACUCUUCACUUUUUCAUGUCUUCUCUUCAUAUUUCAACCUUUCUCUUGUGGGACAUGACCCGACAUGCAUGGCGAAGACAGUUUUAUCUUUCUUUCCACUGAUUCUAUGUCCAGUGUGUGGUUUUUACAUGUGUGCUUGUGUCUGAUCAUGCAUAUUAUGUGGGCGCAUGUUUCUCUUAGCGCUCUCCAGGCCCCUGCUGCUCUCUAACCUUUACACUGCACCGUGUGAGGUCAGGUUGUUCACUUUUCUUUCUUUCUAUCUCUCUCUCUCUUUCUUUUUUCUCUCCCGUGCCUCACCUCUCAAUCACACUGAGACCAGAGUGGAUUUCUUUCUCUGACAAUGACAGGUGGGUGACAGGUUAUCUGCAGGUUGCAUCACUUUGUAUUAACGUCAACAGGCGAAGAGUAUAAAAACAGGGUUUUGCAUUUUAAUACAAUAUCUCAAGGCUUUUAUGAUUUAAAAGGAUUGACAGAUGUUUGGUUGUCCCUCGAUACUUGAACUCCUUCAUCUGAGAAAGAGACAACCAGAUAACAACAUAUCUGCAGCUGAUAUUUUCCAUUUAAUAUAUCAGUCAGACUACAGGGUUUUCAGGUCAUGUCUUAAAAAUGAUGUAAUGGACAUAAAAAGAAGCUCUGAGAGUCCAAAAUGUUGCUCUUUUAAUCUUUUGAUUUCCAGUCAUUUCAACUUUACAUAAAAUAAAACAGAAAAACAACAAAAUUUCUUACUUUGAUACCUCCAUUGGAGAAAAGUGUUUAUUUGCAUGCAGUUUGUUGCAUUUGGUGAUACAGAUCUUUUCACAUUUCCCCUGUUUUUCAUAUACAUCAGGUAGUGACACAGCGUACCGUAAUGCUUCAAAUCUCCAUGAAGCGGCGCGGCUUCGUUGCUUACCAAAGUUGUACUUACACGUUUUGACAGAUUUUUGAGCGUAUUGUAAUUCAGAUAAUCGGUCAGUAAUCACAACAAGUAAUCAUACAUAAAGCACGCUAGAUUAUAAGGCGCACUGUCAAUUUUUGGGAAACUUUAAUGAUUUUAAAUGUGCUGUUUAGUCAGAAAAACUCAGCAUAUGGAAAAGCCAAGGCAGGUAGAGCAGCAGCAAAGACACUAGAGAAGAACAAAGCAGGAAUCAGUGACAGCAAGGAGUUAACAUGGAGGCAUCUGAUUCACACUGUUUGUACUAAAUUCAUAUGAGUUAAUAACUUAAAAUGUGAUUUUUUUUUUUUGAGUUCUAAAUCAAACUCAUUACAGAAAAUGGUUAAAACAUCUCAGACCAUAGUCCUACUUUUAUCGUAAUUCUCAUUAACCUUUUUUAAUAGGUCCUAGCAUGGUUUUUUCGGUAUGUUUUAAACACGCAAUUAAAAUCCUUUUUUAAUUAAAAUGCCUCUAAAUCCUCAUUUUUUGCUGUUCCUGAUAAAGCUUUGACCCCUCUUUGGAAAAAAAGAAAAGAAAACAGAAACUCUUUCCGAAUCCGAUGAUAUAAAGCUUUAAAUUGCCUCUUAUUUAAGGCUGCUAGUACUUUAAACAAGGUUCUACAUUUUUAGGAUGAAUGUUCAAGGUCAGGAUGUUUAAAUGUUCCUUACUUGCAGAGUUAAGUUUAUCGGACGUUGACAAAGAGGUCUAUAGAAAAGGUCCCAUAAAAACACAUCAAUAAAUAUACAUUUUCAAUGACACUGUAUGUAAAAAAAUAAAAAAUAAGUAGUGCUGCUGGAAUCAAACCACAGAAUAAAAAAGCGAUUCGUUCCAGAUUUGCUAUAAAAAAGAGAGACAGCAAGCGGUCUCACUGUCAGUCUGGCCUCCCAAUAAUACUUCUCUGUUUCACACAGAACUCAACCUGUGACUCUUGGAAAGGAUUUGCAGGCCAGCUGUCAGUGCCAGCACCAGACAACACACAUGCACAAAAUGAGCCGACACACACCCGUGUGAGGCGGGAGGCACAGAGACAGAGAUGUGAGGGAGGGAGGGAAGGAAGCGAGCCACACUGGACUAUUCUUUGAACAAAGCUUUGUGCUCGAUGUGCGCUCGCCGCUUUCGCCUUUAUCUGCUGUCCCAUCCUCCCUCUCCGUGGGUGGGCAUUUGCGAGCACGGAUAGUGGUCCAGUCUCAGUCCUGGAUGCCUGCCCUUGGCCCGAAAAGCAUGAUGAGAAACCGAGGAGAGUCCAAAAUUCCCAUAAUGCUCGUACGGAGCAGGUUCUGAGAUAAUCGGACAGCAGGAAGUGGGAACAGCUUACAGCUCUGGACAGCAGAUACAAAGGAGUGCGGAUAUGUGCAUUUACGUGUGUGUGUUUGUGUGUUCUCAUGAGUGUGUAUGAAUGUUUCUGAGGAGCUGGCAACAGGACUGCAAGUCUGCUGCCAGACUCCCUCCAUAUGUCCAUCCCAGUCUGUCUGCGCUCACUAGCAUCCAGCACUAACAGGCUAAAAAGCAUUAGUGGAUAUUUAACCGGCCGUUACAGAUCGGAUCAGAGGAAGAGAUGGAAAGGAAGCGACAGCACUUGAAUGAGACAGACUGUCCUUAAGGAGCAGAGUUACUAUAAGUGGAAGAGAUCUCAUAACUCUGAUGUUUACCCGGCUCAGUACACCCUGUGAUAUUCAAUAUGCAGCGUUCACCAUGCAUCUUUUCUUCUUCUCUUGCUCAGGGGAUGAACAAAUAUUCAUAAACAUGUACAGAAGGGAAGUUCAGUUUUGAUUAAGAAAGAAAAGGUGAACAAACACUCCGUCAAUUUGGUGUAUUUUUGGAAUAUUCUUGACUUUUUUUGUACUUCAGAGUUGACAGCUUUGAUGAGCCUCAGUCACUCUGAGAUGAAAUAAUAAUCCACCUUAAAUGUUGUCUAUGAUGUAACCAUGGAAAAACUGCAAGGAAGCCCAAGAUAAGAGUUUUUUUUAAUGGCAACUGCUGGCUACACUGGUGUCCAAGAGGCUGUAUGGUUCUGAGAUGAUGGUGAAUGGAUUUCAAAUUGACAGAAACCCGACAAAAACCUGUUUAUCUAUGUAUUUGCAUGGUCUGAUAAGUUGGAGGACACAUUCAACUUAAUUCAAGAUUAAGUUGAAGCUACUCAAACUAGUCGGCUUUGUGAAUAUCUAUGUUUUCGGCUGUUGGUUUGGUUGUUUGACCAGUUAGUUUAAUGGUGACGUUGACGGACAGCCAAUAUCAGUUGGUUGAGCUGCAACAUUGGUCAAGUUUGGACUCCUCUUUGACGGUUUUACAUGAAAUUCUGUUCAAACAUACCAAAGUCAAGCCCCUCUUAAUCUCCAACCUUUUCUUUUGAAAACCUUCCCACGACUCUACCUACGAGACUAACAAUUUCAGAUACUUGUUUAAUAAUGAAUUUCACUGACUUCAGUGCUACUUUGACUUGUUCUCCCAACAUCACCAUGAAAUUUUUGAUGAAAACCACCAGACAGCUUGCCAAAGCUAGUUCAAAUAACCACAGAUUCAUCCAAAUUUGAUGAUCUUCUGACAUGCAUUAUUAAAGUUUUGAGUAGCUCACCCCAAGUUGGGUACAACAUGGACCAAGUUUCUGUUACAUCACCCAUUUGUUCCCCAAAC
Non-coding RNA from Xyrichtys novacula (pearly razorfish), 11361 nucleotides. The record is from the annotation of a GenBank genome assembly. Lineage: Eukaryota; Metazoa; Chordata; Actinopteri; Labriformes; Labridae.